Molecule: long non-coding RNA, 1264 nt
Organism: Hordeum vulgare subsp. vulgare (domesticated barley)
Lineage: Eukaryota; Viridiplantae; Streptophyta; Magnoliopsida; Poales; Poaceae
Exons: 2
Source: RefSeq, a predicted model, not a curated record
ACUUUUUAAAAAAACAGGGCCUUAGGCAGUCAGGUAACUUCUUCUGAUCGAUGGUGUCCUACAAAAAAAAGAGAGUGACAAACAUGUAAGUAGGUCCUCUUCAUUCUGAUACGGUACCAAACAUGUAGGCCCAUGGUUUCUCUAAGCCAGCCCAAGCCCACAGACCGGCACCAAUCUCCACGCACGAUCGCACAGUGGAAAAUUACCAUGUUCAUUCUUCCUUCUCGCCCCCAAAUACUCGUAUCACGAAUACGCAAAGGUCUUUUUUUAUUAAUAAUAGAAGAAAAGUGAAUAUAACUACAAGGGCUGGUGCAUCUUGCAACAUGUACGCGACAUGUCAUGCACUAGAGCACCUGAGCAGAGAAAAAUGGGUUGCUCAGCCCCAACAACAAAAGGCUACAUCUUGGGAAGUAUGUUCGUCCCGUAGACGAGUCGGGAGAUGGAAGGUUGUUGGCCGUCGAAGAUGCGCCAAUUGUGGUGCUUCCAAAUGGUUGUGGUGAUUUCAAAUAUGGGGCGGAUAUAAAGGCGUCACGCGUGUAAGAACCGACAGCGUGACCCCACCAUAAAUUGAAUCAAAUCCAUCCUCAAAAGUGUCCGAUCCAUUUGCUCUUUUCUCUCUUCUUUCUAAUCCGCGUCGUCCGUCUUGCAGCUCCCCAGUCGUUCCUAGCCUCCGCCUUGCCAGAUCCGGGAGAGCAGUCCUCUCUCCCAUCCUUGCCGUGGGGACAUUGUCGUCGGAUUGGACGCUGCCAUGAGAAAACGAUGGAUUCCGAUACAUCAAGUUUUUUGGAGAAUUGUUCGUGGAACUAUAGUGAUGUAAGAAUCAGAAACAUUGUGGCACCUCAUGACAUAUUGUGUUAUUUUGCACAAUAUGAUUGUCAGGGAUGAGGUUGACGAUGUAGCUCAAACCAAUGAUUUUGAAGCACCUCGAGAACAAGUUGAAAUCCUGCAAGAUCAAGAUGCAGCUCAGCUUAUGAACUUUCUACACGUGCAUCAGAAUUUUCGAGAUCGGCGUGUGACUCCCUGCUGAUUUGUGGUGGUUUCCCUCCAAGCUUAAAAGGAUGGUCUAACAGAGAAACACAAGUAUUUCCCUCAAUUAUGAAACCAAGGUAUCAAGCUAGUAGGAAGAUCCAGAAGACCAUGUAAGCGAUACCUCCACGCAAAUAACAAAUCCUCGCAACCCAAAGCGUGUAGGAGUUAUCAAUCCCUUGUGGGUAAAGUAAAAGAUAGAUUGAUAGAUGCAAAUAAAGUGAUAGAAAAUAAAACA